RNAcentral lists this ribosomal RNA (253 nucleotides) under uncultured bacterium. Its description in RNAcentral is "partial 16S ribosomal RNA". It matches the Rfam family "Bacterial small subunit ribosomal RNA", at positions 524 to 776 of the family's 1533-position model. The record is from RNAcentral.
UACGGGGGGGGCAAGCGUUGUUCGGAAUUACUGGGCGUAGAGGGCUCGUAGGUGGCCAACUAAGUCAUACGUGAAAUCCCUCGGCUUAACCGGGGAACUGCGUCUGAUACUGGAUGGCUUGAGGUUGGGAGAGGGAUGCGGAAUUCCAGGUGUAGCGGUGAAAUGCGUAGAUAUCUGGAGGAACACCGGUGGCGAAGGCGGCAUCCUGGACCAAUUCUGACACUGAGGAGCGAAAGCCAGGGGAGCAAACGGG